RNAcentral lists this transfer RNA (84 nucleotides) under Geobacter sp. FeAm09. RNAcentral describes it as "tRNA-Met". It matches the Rfam family "tRNA". Rfam says of the family: Transfer RNA (tRNA) molecules are approximately 80 nucleotides in length. Their secondary structure includes four short double-helical elements and three loops (D, anti-codon, and T loops). The record is from RNAcentral. Lineage: Bacteria; Pseudomonadati; Thermodesulfobacteriota; Desulfuromonadia; Geobacterales; Geobacteraceae.
GGCGGCGUAGUUCAUUCUUUCGCCAGUUGGUUAGAGCACACGGCUCAUAUCCGUGUUGUCCGGGGUUCAAGUCCCUGCGCCCCA